This 543-nucleotide long non-coding RNA is filed under the name Bos indicus x Bos taurus (hybrid cattle). RNAcentral's name for it is "lncRNA (ENSBIXG00000025042.1)". The record is from RNAcentral. Lineage: Eukaryota; Metazoa; Chordata; Mammalia; Artiodactyla; Bovidae.
UUACAAACAACUAACUGAAAGAAGCUUGAUUCAAUAAGAGGAAGAAAAAUUGUGCAGUAGUCUCCCUUAUUAUCAUUAGUUCAGGUUUUCUGCUACUCAGAAAAGCUGAAGGAGAGGAAAGAACAGAUCUGGCAGAUAUUAUUUCAGAGCUAGUUGGAAAGAGUGUGCACGAAAAGAUCUUGCCUGGAGAAAUGAGUCCUGCAUGUGAAUGUUAGAGGAGCUAUGUAUGUAAGUUUCCUACUAGAUUUCCAUCUUGAACCUUGUCUCCAGCUGCAUCUAAAAACCAGUGUUUUCCAGGGCACUCUCCCCUGCAUUCAAGUCUGCCACACCAUUUGGCUAAUAUGGUAAGCAGAAUAAUACCCCAUGCACUCCACGAAUGUCCAUGCUCUAAACUUUUGAAUCUGUGAAUAUUUUACACUACUUCGCAAAAGGAAAGUUGCAAUUGGAAUUAAGGUUAUGGACCUUAAAAUAUAUACAGGCAUUCAUUAAGUGGAACCAAUGUAAUCAUAUGGGUGCUUAAGAAUAAAAGAGGAAGACAGAACA